This is a ribosomal RNA of Anser brachyrhynchus (Pink-footed goose), 118 nucleotides long. The record is from Ensembl. NCBI's taxonomy places the organism in Eukaryota, Metazoa, Chordata, Aves, Anseriformes, Anatidae.
GUCUGUAGUUAUACCACCUUCGGCUUUGAUCUUGUCAGAUCUCAUAAACUAAGCAAGACUGGGCCUGCUGUGUAAUUGGGAUGGAAGACCUCCAAGGAAAACCCAGCUGUUGUAGGAA